RNAcentral lists this ribosomal RNA (253 nucleotides) under uncultured bacterium. RNAcentral describes it as "partial 16S ribosomal RNA". It matches the Rfam family "Bacterial small subunit ribosomal RNA", at positions 524 to 776 of the family's 1533-position model. The record is from RNAcentral.
UACAGAGGUCUCAAGCGUUGUUCGGAAUUACUGGGCGUAAAGGGCCAGUAGGCGGCCAACUAAGUCGGAUGUGAAAUCCCCAGGCUCAACUUGGGAACUGCAUCCGAUACUGGAUGGCUUGAAUUCGGGAGAGGGAUGCAGAAUUCCAGGUGUAGCGGUGAAAUGCGUAGAUAUCUGGAGGAAUACCGGUGGCGAAGGCGGCAUCCUGGACCGACAUUGACGCUGAACGGCGAAAGCUAGGGGAGCAAACGGG